Molecule: unclassified non-coding RNA, 233 nt
Filed under: Hevea brasiliensis (rubber tree)
Lineage: Eukaryota; Viridiplantae; Streptophyta; Magnoliopsida; Malpighiales; Euphorbiaceae
Source: RNAcentral
AAAAAAAAUUUAUGAACCAAGUAGAAAGCCUUGUAGCCAUUUUUAAUAUAAAAAUAUUAUAAAAAUAUUGCGUAGUUAUUAUUUAAAAAAUCUUAUUGAAAUUCUACCAAAAUCUAGCGAUAAUGACCUUUAUUGAAACAAUAUCAAGACUAUGUGAUUUUGUCAUACAAAUUGAAGUUUAAUGAGUGUGCUGAAAUCAUUAAUAUGUUUGAUGACCAUAGGUGAAAUUAAGU